This 252-nucleotide ribosomal RNA is filed under the name uncultured bacterium. RNAcentral describes it as "partial 16S ribosomal RNA". It matches the Rfam family "Bacterial small subunit ribosomal RNA", at positions 524 to 776 of the family's 1533-position model. The record is from RNAcentral.
UACGGGGGGGUAAGCGUUGUUCGGAAUUACUGGGCGUAAAGGGCUCGUAGGCGGCCAACUCAGUCAGACGUGAAAUCCCUCAGCUUAACUGGGGAACUGCGUCUGAUACUGGAUGGCUUGGAUUCGGGAGAGGAAUGCGGAAUUCCAGGUGUAGCGGUGAAAUGCGUAGAUAUCUGGAGGAACACCGGUGGCGAAGGCGGCAUCCUGGACCGACAUUGACGCUGAGGCACGAAGGUCAGGGGAGCAAACGGG